AAGAAAGAGAAGUUAGCUAAUUUGAUCCCAAAAGCCAAAAAUAUUAUAUAUUAUAAAUGAGAAUGCAUAACAAUUUGAGUCCAACACCACCUUAUGUAAAGUUUGAAUUAACAAGGCUUUCUAUAUUCUGAGCGCCCCACUAUUAAUAUAGCGUCAAGCUCUUUACGCUUGCAGAAGUAGGUUGGGCCUUAAUUGUCUGCAGAAGUGAUGCAGAGGACAUUUGUUCAUGGUUAGCCGCAUACAUGGGAAAUAUUCUAAAGACAUUGUUGUCGAAUUAGAUAUCCCAUUAGUGAAGAAAAGUUCAAGUGAACCUAUAUUCAAGCGACCACGCGCGUCUCCAAACACCAUCGCCAUUACCGAAAUUUAAGAAGGGACUCGGUUUACUAAGAGAAAUGUUUUGGCAACUCGAAGGAUAUGCAUCUUUAAAGGGACUUGACUAUCUUUAAAUUGUAUUUCUACUUUGUUACUAAUUCAUGCAACAUAGCACAGGGGUCUAAGGACAGAUUCUACACCAAUAAGUUCGAUUGAUACCAUGAGACUGUCAUAAGUUUGUGUGGCUGCUGAAGAUGCUCUUCGUGCAAUCAUCUCUGAUAAUUUAUGGAAAUCUUUAUCAUUUUUAGAUGAAUGUGAGGCAUAUUUUACAUAUGUA
Molecule: long non-coding RNA, 649 nt
Organism: Helianthus annuus (common sunflower)
Lineage: Eukaryota; Viridiplantae; Streptophyta; Magnoliopsida; Asterales; Asteraceae
Exons: 5
Source: RefSeq, a predicted model, not a curated record